RNAcentral lists this ribosomal RNA (379 nucleotides) under uncultured organism. RNAcentral's name for it is "bacterial SSU rRNA". It matches the Rfam family "Bacterial small subunit ribosomal RNA", at positions 367 to 762 of the family's 1533-position model. The record is from RNAcentral.
CGCAAUGGGCGAAAGUCUGACGGAGCGACGCCGCGUGGAGGAUGAAGUUCUUCGGAACGUAAACUCCUUUUGCCAGGGAAAAAGUUAUUGAUUGUACCUGGAGAAUAAGAAGUUGCUAAACUCGUGCCAGCAGCGGUAAUACGAGUGCUUCAAGCGUUAUCCGGAAUCAUUGGGCGUAAAGGGUGUGUAGGUGGCGAUAUUAGUCUUUCGUAAAAUCUCUCGGCUCAACCGAGAGUCUGCGAGGGAAACGGUAUUGCUAAGAGGACGAGAGAGGUUUCUGGAACUCAUAGUGUAGCGGUGAAAUGCGUUGAUAUUAUGGGGAACACCAAAAGCGAAGGCAAGAAACUGGCUCGCUCCUGACACUGAAACACGAAAGCGU